CCGGAGAAUGUUAUCACGGGAGACACACGGCGGGUGCUAACGUCCGUCGUGAAGAGGGAAACAACCCAGACCGCCAGCUAAGGUCCCAAAGUCAUGGUUAAGUGGGAAACGAUGUGGGAAGGCCCAGACAGCCAGGAUGUUGGCUUAGAAGCAGCCAUCAUUUAAAGAAAGCGUAAUAGCUCACUGGUCGAGUCGGCCUGCGCGGAAGAUGUAACGGGGCUAAACCAUGCACCGAAGCUGCGGCAGCGACACUGUGUGUUGUUGGGUAGGGGAGCGUUCUGUAAGCCUGUGAAGGUGGCCUGUGAGGGUUGCUGGAGGUAUCAGAAGUGCGAAUGCUGACAUAAGUAACGAUAAAGCGGGUGAAAAGCCCGCUCGCCGGAAGACCAAGGGUUCCUGUCCAACGUUAAUCGGGGCAGGGUGAGUCGACCCCUAAGGCGAGGCCGAAAGGCGUAGUCGAUGGGAAACGGGUUAAUAUUCCCGUACUUGGUGUUACUGCGAAGGGGGGACGG
This 509-nucleotide ribosomal RNA is filed under the name Salmonella enterica subsp. enterica serovar Muenchen. Its description in RNAcentral is "partial 23S ribosomal RNA". It matches the Rfam family "Bacterial large subunit ribosomal RNA", at positions 962 to 1475 of the family's 2925-position model. RNAcentral also lists the same sequence under 1 other name. The record is from RNAcentral. Lineage: Bacteria; Pseudomonadati; Pseudomonadota; Gammaproteobacteria; Enterobacterales; Enterobacteriaceae.